Molecule: unclassified non-coding RNA, 313 nt
Filed under: uncultured Nectriaceae
Lineage: Eukaryota; Fungi; Ascomycota; Sordariomycetes; Hypocreales; Nectriaceae
Description: sequence contains ITS1
Rfam family: 5.8S ribosomal RNA (bases 1-105)
Source: RNAcentral
GAAAUGCGAUAAGUAAUGUGAAUUGCAGAAUUCCGUGAAUCAUCGAAUCUUUGAACGCACAUUGCGCCCGCCAGUAUUCUGGCGGGCAUGCCUGUUCGAGCGUCAUUUCAACCCUCAAGCCCCCGGGCUUGGUGUUGGGGCUCGGCCCGUCCCUAGCGGACGCGCCGUCCCCGAAAUCUAGUGGCGGUCUCGCUGUAGCCUCCUCUGCGUAGUAGCUAACACCUCGCAACGGGAACGCAGCGCGGCCACGCCGUUAAACCCCCCACUUCUGAAGGUUGACCUCGGAUCAGGUAGGAAUACCCGCUGAACUUAA